RNAcentral lists this ribosomal RNA (2787 nucleotides) under Escherichia coli. Its description in RNAcentral is "bacterial LSU rRNA". It matches the Rfam family "Bacterial large subunit ribosomal RNA". Lineage: Bacteria; Pseudomonadati; Pseudomonadota; Gammaproteobacteria; Enterobacterales; Enterobacteriaceae. The record is from RNAcentral.
AGCGUACACGGUGGAUGCCCUGGCAGUCAGAGGCGAUGAAGGACGUGCUAAUCUGCGAUAAGCGUCGGUAAGGUGAUAUGAACCGUUAUAACCGGCGAUUUCCGAAUGGGGAAACCCAGUGUGAUUCGUCACACUAUCAUUAACUGAAUCCAUAGGUUAAUGAGGCGAACCGGGGGAACUGAAACAUCUAAGUACCCCGAGGAAAAGAAAUCAACCGAGAUUCCCCCAGUAGCGGCGAGCGAACGGGGAGCAGCCCAGAGCCUGAAUCAGUGUGUGUGUUAGUGGAAGCGUCUGGAAAGGCGCGCGAUACAGGGUGACAGCCCCGUACACAAAAAUGCACAUACUGUGAGCUCGAUGAGUAGGGCGGGACACGUGGUAUCCUGUCUGAAUAUGGGGGGACCAUCCUCCAAGGCUAAAUACUCCUGACUGACCGAUAGUGAACCAGUACCGUGAGGGAAAGGCGAAAAGAACCCCGGCGAGGGGAGUGAAAAAGAACCUGAAACCGUGUACGUACAAGCAGUGGGAGCACGCUUAGGCGUGUGACUGCGUACCUUUUGUAUAAUGGGUCAGCGACUUAUAUUCUGUAGCAAGGUUAACCGAAUAGGGGAGCCGAAGGGAAACCGAGUCUUAACUGGGCGUUAAGUUGCAGGGUAUAGACCCGAAACCCGGUGAUCUAGCCAUGGGCAGGUUGAAGGUUGGGUAACACUAACUGGAGGACCGAACCGACUAAUGUUGAAAAAUUAGCGGAUGACUUGUGGCUGGGGGUGAAAGGCCAAUCAAACCGGGAGAUAGCUGGUUCUCCCCGAAAGCUAUUUAGGUAGCGCCUCGUGAAUUCAUCUCCGGGGGUAGAGCACUGUUUCGGCAAGGGGGUCAUCCCGACUUACCAACCCGAUGCAAACUGCGAAUACCGGAGAAUGUUAUCACGGGAGACACACGGCGGGUGCUAACGUCCGUCGUGAAGAGGGAAACAACCCAGACCGCCAGCUAAGGUCCCAAAGUCAUGGUUAAGUGGGAAACGAUGUGGGAAGGCCCAGACAGCCAGGAUGUUGGCUUAGAAGCAGCCAUCAUUUAAAGAAAGCGUAAUAGCUCACUGGUCGAGUCGGCCUGCGCGGAAGAUGUAACGGGGCUAAACCAUGCACCGAAGCUGCGGCAGCGACGCUGAUGCGUUGUUGGGUAGGGGAGCGUUCUGUAAGCCUGUGAAGGUGUGCUGUGAGGCAUGCUGGAGGUAUCAGAAGUGCGAAUGCUGACAUAAGUAACGAUAAAGCGGGUGAAAAGCCCGCUCGCCGGAAGACCAAGGGUUCCUGUCCAACGUUAAUCGGGGCAGGGUGAGUCGACCCCUAAGGCGAGGCCGAAAGGCGUAGUCGAUGGGAAACAGGUUAAUAUUCCUGUACUUGGUGUUACUGCGAAGGGGGGACGGAGAAGGCUAUGUUGGCCGGGCGACGGUUGUCCCGGUUUAAGCGUGUAGGCUGGUUUUCCAGGCAAAUCCGGAAAAUCAAGGCUGAGGCGUGAUGACGAGGCACUACGGUGCUGAAGCAACAAAUGCCCUGCUUCCAGGAAAAGCCUCUAAGCAUCAGGUAACAUCAAAUCGUACCCCAAACCGACACAGGUGGUCAGGUAGAGAAUACCAAGGCGCUUGAGAGAACUCGGGUGAAGGAACUAGGCAAAAUGGUGCCGUAACUUCGGGAGAAGGCACGCUGAUAUGUAGGUGAAGUCCCUCGCGGAUGGAGCUGAAAUCAGUCGAAGAUACCAGCUGGCUGCAACUGUUUAUUAAAAACACAGCACUGUGCAAACACGAAAGUGGACGUAUACGGUGUGACGCCUGCCCGGUGCCGGAAGGUUAAUUGAUGGGGUCAGCGCAAGCGAAGCUCUUGAUCGAAGCCCCGGUAAACGGCGGCCGUAACUAUAACGGUCCUAAGGUAGCGAAAUUCCUUGUCGGGUAAGUUCCGACCUGCACGAAUGGCGUAAUGAUGGCCAGGCUGUCUCCACCCGAGACUCAGUGAAAUUGAACUCGCUGUGAAGAUGCAGUGUACCCGCGGCAAGACGGAAAGACCCCGUGAACCUUUACUAUAGCUUGACACUGAACAUUGAGCCUUGAUGUGUAGGAUAGGUGGGAGGCUUUGAAGUGUGGACGCCAGUCUGCAUGGAGCCGGCCUUGAAAUACCACCCUUUAAUGUUUGAUGUUCUAACGUUGACCCGUUAUCCGGGUUGCGGACAGUGUCUGGUGGGUAGUUUGACUGGGGCGGUCUCCUCCUAAAGAGUAACGGAGGAGCACGAAGGUUGGCUAAUCCUGGUCGGACAUCAGGAGGUUAGUGCAAUGGCAUAAGCCAGCUUGACUGCGAGCGUGACGGCGCGAGCAGGUGCGAAAGCAGGUCAUAGUGAUCCGGUGGUUCUGAAUGGAAGGGCCAUCGCUCAACGGAUAAAAGGUACUCCGGGGAUAACAGGCUGAUACCGCCCAAGAGUUCAUAUCGACGGCGGUGUUUGGCACCUCGAUGUCGGCUCAUCACAUCCUGGGGCUGAAGUAGGUCCCAAGGGUAUGGCUGUUCGCCAUUUAAAGUGGUACGCGAGCUGGGUUUAGAACGUCGUGAGACAGUUCGGUCCCUAUCUGCCGUGGGCGCUGGAGAACUGAGGGGGGCUGCUCCUAGUACGAGAGGACCGGAGUGGACGCAUCACUGGUGUUCGGGUUGUCAUGCCAAUGGCACUGCCCGGUAGCUAAAUGCGGAAGAGAUAAGUGCUGAAAGCAUCUAAGCACGAAACUUGCCCCGAGAUGAGUUCUCCCUGACUCCUUGA